CAACGAGCGCAACCCUUAUCCUUUGUUGCCAGCGGUCCGGCCGGGAACUCAAAGGAGACUGCCAGUGAUAAACUGGAGGAAGGUGGGGAUGACGUCAAGUCAUCAUGGCCCUUACGACCAGGGCUACACACGUGCUACAAUGGCGCAUACAAAGAGAAGCGACCUCGCGAGAGCAAGCGGACCUCAUAAAGUGCGUCGUAGUCCGGAUUGGAGUCUGCAACUCGACUCCAUGAAGUCGGAAUCGCUAGUAAUCGUGGAUCAGAAUGCCACGGUGAAUACGUUCCCGGGCCUUGUACACACCGCCCGUCACACCAUGGGAGUGGGUUGCAAAAGAAGUAGGUAGCUUAACCUUCGGGAGGGCGCUUACCACUUUGUGAUUCAUGACUGGGGUGAAGUCGUAACAAGGUAACCGUAGGGGAACCUGCGGUUGGAUCACCUCCUUACCUUAAAGAAGC
Molecule: ribosomal RNA, 455 nt
Filed under: Escherichia coli
Lineage: Bacteria; Pseudomonadati; Pseudomonadota; Gammaproteobacteria; Enterobacterales; Enterobacteriaceae
Also listed under: 1 other name
Description: bacterial SSU rRNA
Rfam family: Bacterial small subunit ribosomal RNA
Source: RNAcentral